CCUACGCGUAGAAGUGGGGGAUCUUCGGACCUCACGCUAUUAGAUGAGCCUAGGUCGGAUUAGCUAGUUGGUGAGGUAAUGCCGAUCCAAGGCGACGAUGUAGCUGGUCUGAGAGGAUGCAUCACACUGGAACUGAGACACGGUCCAGACCCAUGAGGAGGCAGCAGUGGGGAAUAUUGCGACAAUGGGCGAAAGCCUGAUCCAGCCAUGCCGCGUGUGUGAAGAAGGUCUUCGGAUCCAGUGACACUUUAAGGGAGGAAGGGCAGUUACCUAAUACGUGAUUGUUUUGACGUCCAUGAAAUAAGCCGGCUAACCCAAAUGACCGUAGAGCCGCGGUACAGAGGGUGCAAGCGUUAAUCGGCCAUGAUUAAAGCGCGCGCCAGGUGGUUUGUUAAGUCUAGUAGGGAUGAAAGCCCCGGGCUCAACCCCGAUCCAAAACUGGCAAGCUAGAGUAUGGUAGAGGGUGGUUAGUGUUGGAAUUUCCUGUGUAGCGGUGAAAUGCGUAGAUAUCCAGUGUGGCGAAGGCGACCACCUGCCAGGACUGAUACUGACACUGAGGUGCGAAAGCGGGGAGCAAACCAGUCAGGAUUAGAUACCGUAGUGAUGUCAACCCAGUA
RNAcentral lists this ribosomal RNA (617 nucleotides) under Pseudomonas fluorescens. RNAcentral describes it as "bacterial SSU rRNA". It matches the Rfam family "Bacterial small subunit ribosomal RNA", at positions 193 to 804 of the family's 1533-position model. The record is from RNAcentral. Lineage: Bacteria; Pseudomonadati; Pseudomonadota; Gammaproteobacteria; Pseudomonadales; Pseudomonadaceae.